CCUACGGGAGGCAGCAGUAGGGAAUCUUCCGCAAUGGACGAAAGUCUGACGGAGCAACGCCGCGUGAACGAUGAAGGCCUUCGGGUCGUAAAGUUCUGUUGUUAGGGAAGAACAAGUGCUAGUUGAAUAAGCUGGCACCUUGACGGUACCUAACCAGAAAGCCACGGCUAACUACGUGCCAGCAGCCGCGGUAAUACGUAGGUGGCAAGCGUUGUCCGGAAUUAUUGGGCGUAAAGCGCGCGCAGGCGGUUUCUUAAGUCUGAUGUGAAAGCCCCCGGCUCAACCGGGGAGGGUCAUUGGAAACUGGGAAACUUGAGUGCAGAAGAGGAAAGUGGAAUUCCAAGUGUAGCGGUGAAAUGCGUAGAGAUUUGGAGGAACACCAGUGGCGAAGGCGACUUCCUGGUCUGUAACUGACGCUGAGGCGCGAAAGCGUGGGGAGCAAACAGGAUUAGAUACCCUGGUAGUCCACGCUGUAAACGAUGAGUGCUAAGUGUUAGAGGGUUUCCGCCCUUUAGUGCUGAAGUUAACGCAUUAAGCACUCCGCCUGGGGAGUACGGUCGCAAGACUGAAACUUAAAUGAAAUUGACGG
This 589-nucleotide ribosomal RNA is filed under the name uncultured bacterium. Its description in RNAcentral is "bacterial SSU rRNA". It matches the Rfam family "Bacterial small subunit ribosomal RNA", at positions 338 to 916 of the family's 1533-position model. The record is from RNAcentral.